GAUUACGGCCAUACCACACUGACAACGCCUGAUCUCGGAAGCUAAGCAGAGUUGGGCUGGGUCAGUACUUGGAUGGGUGACCGCCUGGGAAUACCCCGUGCUGUAAGCA
RNAcentral lists this ribosomal RNA (109 nucleotides) under Cottoperca gobio. The record is from RNAcentral. Lineage: Eukaryota; Metazoa; Chordata; Actinopteri; Perciformes; Bovichtidae.